CUUACCACCAUUGUCUACAAGAGCUUUAGGAGUUGUGUGUCAGGAAGUAAGAAGAUCAAAUAUUCAUUUUACAAUAUUACAGUCUCUGAGAGAAGAGGACAAAAAUGAAAUCAUUGUGCACAUGGGGACCCUGCCUUGUGUUACUACAAUAAAUCUCGAUUUAGCAACGUCUAGACUUUGGAAAUUCUACUACUGCCCAGCUUCAUUGUAAAAGCAGCCAUCACUGACUUUCUGUUCCAUCAUCCUGGCAGUUGGCAGGAAUUCCUGAAAUUGUUCGAAACCAGAAAACUUCCCCCCAAAAUCAGAAGGCUGGCAUUAGGACCCAGCCCAAUGCCCGUGGAUCCAUCGCCCUCCACCACGUGCAAAGCAUCAGAAGAACAGCUCUGUCCAUAGAAAUCAUAGAACCAGGAGGAGGGAAAUCAAACCCAAAAUUAAUCAAACAGGAUGUAAUUCCCAGAGCAAACAUGCAUCAAUUAGGGGAAAUGUUACCAUCCAGGUACUGGGUUUGGAAUUUCACGAGGGACUCAUAAGGUGAAUAAACUAAGCUCUGACAUUGAUUAUGGAAAGCAGCAGCUGUAUGAUGUCAGGGCUGCUGUGAUCAGUUCAGCCAGAAAUUCACUUUUCAGUGCCUUGA
Non-coding RNA from Heterocephalus glaber (naked mole-rat), 634 nucleotides. The record is from RefSeq and is a predicted model, not a curated record. NCBI's taxonomy places the organism in Eukaryota, Metazoa, Chordata, Mammalia, Rodentia, Bathyergidae.